Pseudophryne corroboree (corroboree frog) is the source of this 1620-nucleotide RNA transcript. It is a transcript of the gene named membrane-associated guanylate kinase, WW and PDZ domain-containing protein 3-like, with no coding region annotated. The record is from RefSeq and is a predicted model, not a curated record. The transcript has 6 exons. NCBI's taxonomy places the organism in Eukaryota, Metazoa, Chordata, Amphibia, Anura, Myobatrachidae.
ACCUGGAAACAGUUAUGUGCCACUAAGCCAGGAUACUACAGGGUAUCAGCUCCUAAGGGGGUGAAAAGGGGUAAAAUAUUCUGCCCAGCAAACCUUUGCCCGGUUGAAACAGGUCACAUCAGCUAGUUUAUUUUAUUACACCAUGCAGCACGUCAGUUGUGGUUCUCCAAUAUUCUGCUGUGCAUAUUUUUACGGAUGCUUCCUUUGGACGCCGGAUUCUUGUGCCCGCUACAGUGCAUCCCUUCCCAUGAGGAACUGCUUUAGGACAUCCCCGAUGUAAUUCCCUGUGGAAUCACAGUGUACCCCGCUGCAGAAAAGAAGAUUUAUGGUAAGAACUUUUUUAAACUUUGUUAAAUCUCUUUGUGCGAGGUACACUGGAUUCCACAGGGUGCCCAUCCUGACGCACUUAGCUUCUUUGGGUUUGUAUGGCAUUAGCCGCUGGUACCUUCUCCUGUCGUAAGAAUGUAGUUGUAUGUGGCUACUAACUGUUGUCGUCUCUUUUACAUGCUACUGCAUUGGACUGGUUAACAAAACUGAGCUCCAGUGCCUGGAGGCGGGGAUAUGGAGGAGGUGGCACUAUGCAUCCUGAGAACAGUCAAAGCUUUUAGCCUGUUGGUGCCUCGAAUCAAGAUCCAACUCUACACCCCGAUGUUAUUCCCUGUGGAAUCCAGUGUACCUCGCAGAAAUAGAUUUAACAAAAAGUUUGGGCUGUUACCCUGUGGAGUUGGAAGGACCUAGAGGCUUUGGGUUUAGCCUCCGUGGAGGAGCCUGUGACAGAAUGGACACCCCAAAGAGGACCCCACUAAUGAAAGAAAAUACAAAUUUAACGGUUGGAGAUUAGAUAGUAGAAAUUAUGGAGAACUAAUGCAAGGCAUCACUCAUACUCGAGCCAUUGAGCUGAUCCAAGCUGGUGGGACCAAAGUUCUCCUAUUACUGAGACCAGGAACAGGGCUUAUUCCUGACCAUGAUUAGAUGAGUACAGUCAAAGAAGGAAAAGAGAGAUAAGAAAGAUAGCAAAGAGGAAGACAAACCAGACAUAAGGGCAAAGGAUGGGGAGGAUCAUGAGCUGCAGUGGUCAUUUCACCAUCAAUAAUUAGAUACGUUCUUUGGUGCAAAUUCAUGAAUACGUCAAGACAUUUCCAGUAUGUGUAUGGGAAAACAAUCUCAAUGUAUGAGCAAUGUAAAAUAAAUUAAAAUAAGAAUGUAGCCCUAGGCCAAAAGUAACAGGGUCAGUUCAGUUUUCGUAUGAGUGCCCAAGAUGUAUUGUCAAAAACCUUCAUGACAUUUUCAUGUGUUUCUUGAGGCAAAAACUCUAAAUAGAGGCUCCACUUUUUGAAAAAUCUACUCACUUCCUUUUCUAUGUCAUAUAAAGCUGCCUUUCGAUCAAAAUAUAAAAAGUUUAAAAGUUCAGUCUGGAGCAACGUAAGCGUGGGUAUUGACUUUGAGAUCCAGACAGAGAGUAUAAGUUUUUUGGCUAAUGUUACCAAUAAGACCAAAAAAGGGAGAACAGAUCUAUGCAGUAGUGAGGGCACCCAACCCGAAAAAUCUGACAAUAGAAACAUUUCCCAGGCAAAGGGUAAUCUAACCUUCAUAAUUUGUUGAAUAAAGUUAUGAGUCUUA